Molecule: ribosomal RNA, 111 nt
Filed under: Carlito syrichta (Philippine tarsier)
Lineage: Eukaryota; Metazoa; Chordata; Mammalia; Primates; Tarsiidae
Source: RNAcentral
GUCUAUGGUCUUACGACCCUGAAAUCUUCUGAUCUUGUCUGAUCUCAAAAACUAAGCAGGUUUGAGUCUGGCUAAUAUUUGGAUGAUAAGGGUGAUUAGGUAUUUUAGAGA